GUCACAGCUGAAGUCACAGAGAGUUGAAAAGGGCAAGGUAGAUGGGGAGCAGAUGAGAUGGGAUUGUUGUGAAAUGGGGUUCAAAGAGGAGAAAUUCCAGGGGGAAAGGGGUGGGACAAAGUAUGACUUGGGCAGUGGAGGUGGGGCCUAGAGCUAUCUCCAACUUCAGCUCCAGAGUCUCUGGUUUCUGUUCAAGGACAAAUGGCACAGCAUACUUUCCAAGAUCAAGAACAAAGGACCUCCAUACGGCAGAACAGUGCUCAGAAUGGUCAACUGGACCUCAAGUCUGAGAGCCAGUGAGGAAUUGAGAAGCCUGAAACUUGUAGGAAGAUGAAAAUCUGUUCCAAGAGUAUGAAGUCUCUUGAAGACAGCUGCAGGACUAUGAGGAGAAA
Herpailurus yagouaroundi (jaguarundi) is the source of this 392-nucleotide long non-coding RNA. RefSeq lists it as uncharacterized. The transcript has 3 exons. Lineage: Eukaryota; Metazoa; Chordata; Mammalia; Carnivora; Felidae. The record is from RefSeq and is a predicted model, not a curated record.